Varanus komodoensis (Komodo dragon) is the source of this 134-nucleotide small nucleolar RNA. The record is from Ensembl. Lineage: Eukaryota; Metazoa; Chordata; Lepidosauria; Squamata; Varanidae.
CUGCAUGAUGGAACUUCACCAUUCUUCUGUUUCUCCAGGAGAAUGAAUAUUCCUUCAGUGCUAUAAAAUGAGGAGUUUUCAGGGCCACCAGCCUUCAAGUAGAGUCUGAGUGGUAGUAUAUUUCUUCUACAAAA